RNAcentral lists this ribosomal RNA (404 nucleotides) under Actinomycetes bacterium. RNAcentral describes it as "Actinobacteria bacterium partial 16S ribosomal RNA". It matches the Rfam family "Bacterial small subunit ribosomal RNA", at positions 355 to 776 of the family's 1533-position model. The record is from RNAcentral. Lineage: Bacteria; Bacillati; Actinomycetota; Actinomycetes.
UGGGGAAUAUUGGACAAUGGGCGCAAGCCUGAUCCAGCCAUGCCGCGUGAGUGAUGAAGGCCCUAGGGUUGUAAAGCUCUUUCACCGGUGAAGAUAAUGACGGUAACCGGAGAAGAAGCCCCGGCUAACUUCGUGCCAGCAGCCGCGGUAAUACGAAGGGGGCUAGCGUUGUUCGGAUUUACUGGGCGUAAAGCGCACGUAGGCGGACUAUUAAGUCAGGGGUGAAAUCCCGGGGCACAACCCCGGAACUGCCUUUGAUACUGGUAGGCUUGAGUUCGAGAGAGGGGAGUGGAAUUCCGAGUGUAGAGGUGAAAUUCGUAGAUAUUCGGAGGAACACCAGUGGCGAAGGCGGCUCACUGGCUCGAUACUGACGCUGAGGUGCGAAAGCGUGGGGAGCAAACAGG